RNAcentral lists this ribosomal RNA (253 nucleotides) under uncultured bacterium. Its description in RNAcentral is "partial 16S ribosomal RNA". It matches the Rfam family "Bacterial small subunit ribosomal RNA", at positions 524 to 776 of the family's 1533-position model. The record is from RNAcentral.
UACGGGGGGGGUAAGCGUUGUUCGGAAUUACUGGGCGUAAAGGGCUCGUAGGCGGCCAACUAAGUCAUACGUGAAAUCCCUCAGCUUAACUGGGGAACUGCGUGUGAUACUGGAUGGCUUGGAUUUGGGAGAGGGAUGCGGAAUUCCAGGUGUAGCGGUGAAAUGCGUAGAUAUCUGGAGGAACACCGGUGGCGAAGGCGGCGUCCUGGACCAAUAUUGACGCUGAGGAGCGAAAGCCAGGGGAGCAAACGGG